GACGAACGCUGGCGGCGCGCUUAACACAUGCAAGUCGAACGGAAAGGCCUGCUUUCCCUUGUGGAUUGCGGGUACUCGAGUGGCGAACGGGUGAGUAACACGUGAGUGAUCUGCCCCCAACUUGGGUAUAAGCCUGGGAAACUGGGUCUAAUUCCCGAUAGGACUGCAGGGUGGUGCCUGUGGUGGAAAACGAUUUUCUAGUGGUUGGGGAUGAGCUCGCGGCCUAUCAGCUUGUUGGUGGGGUAAUGGCCUACCAAGGCGGGGACGGGUAGCCGGCCUGAGAGGGUGGACGGCCACAUUGGGACUGAGAUACGGCCCAGACUCCUACGGGAGGCAGCAGUGGGGAAUAUUACACAAUGGGCGGAAGCCUGAUGCAGCGACGCCGCGUGGGGGAUGACGGCCUUCGGGUUGUAAACUCCUUUCGACCGCGAGGAAGCCACCUGGUUGGAAGGGUGGUGACGGUAGUGGUAGAAGAAGCACCGGCUAACUACGUG
Molecule: ribosomal RNA, 494 nt
Filed under: uncultured bacterium
Lineage: Bacteria
Description: partial 16S ribosomal RNA
Rfam family: Bacterial small subunit ribosomal RNA
Source: RNAcentral